RNAcentral lists this ribosomal RNA (733 nucleotides) under uncultured Streptococcaceae bacterium. RNAcentral's name for it is "bacterial SSU rRNA". It matches the Rfam family "Bacterial small subunit ribosomal RNA", at positions 63 to 779 of the family's 1533-position model. Lineage: Bacteria; Bacillati; Bacillota; Bacilli; Lactobacillales; Streptococcaceae. The record is from RNAcentral.
AGAACGCUGAAGAGAGGAGCUUGCUCUUCUUGGAUGAGUUGCGAACGGGUGAGUAACGCGUAGGUAACCUGCCUUGUAGCGGGGGAUAACUAUUGGAAACGAUAGCUAAUACCGCAUAACAAUGGGUGACACAUGUCAUUUAUUUGAAAGGGGCAAUUGCUCCACUACAAGAUGGACCUGCGUUGUACUAGCUAGUAGGUGAGGUAACGGCUCACCUAGGCGACGAUACAUAGCCGACCUGAGAGGGUGAUCGGCCACACUGGGACUGAGACACGGCCCAGACUCCUACGGGAGGCAGCAGUAGGGAAUCUUCGGCAAUGGGGGCAACCCUGACCGAGCAACGCCGCGUGAGUGAAGAAGGUUUUCGGAUCGUAAAGCUCUGUUGUAAGUCAAGAACGAGUGUGAGAGUGGAAAGUUCACACUGUGACGGUAGCUUACCAGAAAGGGACGGCUAACUACGUGCCAGCAGCCGCGGUAAUACGUAGGUCCCGAGCGUUGUCCGGAUUUAUUGGGCGUAAAGCGAGCGCAGGCGGUUUGAUAAGUCUGAAGUUAAAGGCUGUGGCUCAACCAUAGUUCGCUUUGGAAACUGUCAAACUUGAGUGCAGAAGGGGAGAGUGGAAUUCCAUGUGUAGCGGUGAAAUGCGUAGAUAUAUGGAGGAACACCGGUGGCGAAAGCGGCUCUCUGGUCUGUAACUGACGCUGAGGCUCGAAAGCGUGGGGAGCGAACAGGAUU